Molecule: unclassified non-coding RNA, 1208 nt
Filed under: Patiria miniata (bat star)
Lineage: Eukaryota; Metazoa; Echinodermata; Asteroidea; Valvatida; Asterinidae
Description: choline/ethanolaminephosphotransferase 1-like, transcript variant X2
Source: RNAcentral
UUUCGAAUUGGGGAUAUGAAUGCAGCGCAGCGGACGAUGUUAUGGUGUUGCAGUAAAAUUAAAUAGUGUGGCGCUGUUUAGUGUACAAGUUGUAAUCAACGAGUGUUCAUGUAUCUACUGAAGAGGUUGGCGGGUUUUGCUGAGAUGUCGCGUCAAUGGGCAAAAAUAGGAAACAAGUUGGAGGCGUUUGGUGGUGGAGUCGCACUGGAGGGGAAGCCCAUGCAGACGCUGACGGUUGUAUGACACCUGCUGUAAGCAAGUCAUCUAGAUUUCCGCCUUGCGGCAACGACACAUUUUGUCUCUCUGGUUGUUUAAAAAAAAAAAACCUGACGAUGUUUUCCGACGAGAUCCGUACAGAGGAGCAAAUUAAUCACCUCAAUCGUCAUGAGUACACUCGCACUGGCCGCACGUUUGUGGAGCCCUUUAUGGAACCAUAUUGGUGGUGGCCCGUGGCCGACUUGGUUCCAAGGACCAUCAAUGCUAACGUUAUAUCAGUCUUUGGUGUGAUUCUUAACAUCAUCAGCACAGUGGUACUCAUGUACUAUGCUCCGACUGCAACUGAAGAGGCUCCACGCUGGGCGUACUCACUGGCUGGCGUGAACAUCUUUCUCUUCCAAACCUGCGACUCUGUGGACGGGCGGCAGUGUUUGAGGUACAAGACAAAGCUGAAUUGGCAUCUGCAGCUUGCUGAACUAUUCGACCAUGCUUGCGACUCGAUCACCAAAGUGUGUGUCACCAUUGAAUUUGGUAUCUGCAUGAAGAUAGGCGGUCGGCCAGAACUCUUUGUACCGUUUAUGCUGACGGCAAUGUUCAUGUUUUUCACGGCACACUGGCAGACCUACAUCUCUGGAUUGGUGCGAUUUACCACGCAUUUGCGUUGGAGUGGAGGGAGCUGAUAAUAAUUGCAACAGCGAUGUCGAGCAUUUUAAAGUUUUUCAACCAAGCUGCCUUUGUUUGGGGACGGGGCCACCGUGUCACAGUUGCUGUGUAAGUGCUCAGUCUAGCAGCUUUCCGAGUUAGAGCCUGCAAACUACGAAAGAAUACAGUACUUCUAGAGGUACACUCUUAUCUUGUUAGGGAUUAUAAAGCCACUGUUUGGACAAAGGAUUAAGAUAGAUUAGAGGGCUGGCCAGUUUACAGUUUGAUUGACUGUUUUCCCUCAGAAGUUUCUAGCGGAGGUUACCCGCAAUUCUACAAAUUGGUUAUUU